GAGCCCUAGACAGCCGGGAGGUGAGCUUAGAAGCAGCUACCCUCUAAGAAAAGCGUAACAGCUUACCGGCCGAGGUUUGAGGCGCCCAAAAUGAUCGGGACUCAAAUCCACCACCGAGACCUAUCCGCACCACUCAUACUGGUGAUCGAGUAGAUUGGCGCUCUAAUUGGAUGGAAGCGGGGGCGAGAGCUCCUGUGGACCGAUUAGUGACGAAAAUCCUGGCCAUAGUAGCAGCGAUAGUCGGGUGAGAACCCCGACGGCCUAAUGGAUAAGGGUUCCUCGGCACUGCUGAUCAGCCGAGGGUUAGCCGGUCCUAAGUCUCACCGCAACUCGACUGAGACGAAAUGGGAAACAGAUUAAUAUUUCUGUGCCAUCAUACAGUGAAAGUUGACGCCCUGGGGUCGACCAUGCCGGGCUUUCGCCCGGUCGAAUCGUCCAACUCCGUGGAAGCCGUAAUGGCACGAAGCGGACGAACGGCGAGAUAGAGAAAUAUGGUUCAACCUGGGGCCCGUGAA
RNAcentral lists this ribosomal RNA (515 nucleotides) under Haloarcula saliterrae. RNAcentral's name for it is "partial 23S ribosomal RNA". It matches the Rfam family "Archaeal large subunit ribosomal RNA", at positions 1166 to 1709 of the family's 2987-position model. The record is from RNAcentral. Lineage: Archaea; Methanobacteriati; Methanobacteriota; Halobacteria; Halobacteriales; Haloarculaceae.